This is a long non-coding RNA of Equus quagga, 2479 nucleotides long. RefSeq lists it as uncharacterized. Lineage: Eukaryota; Metazoa; Chordata; Mammalia; Perissodactyla; Equidae. The transcript is spliced from 2 exons. The record is from RefSeq and is a predicted model, not a curated record.
CCUCCCGGACUACCCUAUCGGAAGCUAGGAGACCGAGGACCGGGCCUCGUCCUCCCGCGUCUCCCAGUGGGAGGGGUAGGAAGUCAGCAGUUUUCACCCUGCCCCCGGCCAGCUGACACUGAGGCUAAUGCUAGGGGACUUCAGGAUGUGGAGAAACUCAGAUGCAGUCCAUGCAGCCACUGGUGGUUCUAUUGACUUUGCAAGUUCUUCUUUGGCAAGAUGUAGUAACAAGGCUUGAAGUGCCCUCCUGCUCAAAACAACUAAAAAACUAUAUUGACAAAAUGUAUGAAACAAGUUUUCAGACAUUGGACAUCAAAGACUGUAGGACAAUGAUCCCUGAGAGAGGUGAGCCCUGUGAUUACCCUAGCUUGCUGCUGGAAACUCUUUCCAGGCAUGGCACAGGGAGGGAGAACUCAGGCAGAGCCUGGUAAUCUCCUUCAACUGAGGAUACAGAGUCCAGGGUGGCCAAAGUGUCUGGAAUUUUCAGGGCAAAGUACCAGAGGCAAGAGACCUGCACAGAGAGACUCUCUAGGGAUCUGAGAGAGUCCCCUCAAGUUUUCAGCUGGAUAAUAGUCAGUGCAUAUGAGGAAGGAAACCAUCCAUGUCUGUGGAAGAACCACCUGAAAGGAGCAGAGGAAACAAUUCUCAAAGCUCACAUAGGGAAAAGAAUAGUUCAUGUUCACCCUAGACAGAGUAGAAAACCUUAUAAUUCACCUAUCAUUGGUGGAGGGGGAAAAUUAGCCCUAGACUAAAGGCAACCCUAGUUCCAUAUAACAAAGAUUAAGGGCAAGCCUCCAAAAGAUCAAACUAUUUGUAAAUGAUUUAACUGCAUCUCAGAAGAAAGCUCAAAAAUAUAUGUAUGAGUACAAAAACAUCCAGUAUCCAACAAGGUAAAGUUCACAAUGUCUGGCAUUUAAUUUUUAAAAAUUACAAAAAUGCAAAGAACCAGGAAAAUACAACCUAUAAUGAGGACAACCGUAAAUCAGUAGAAUCAGACCCAGAAAUGCCACAGAUAAUAGAAUUACUAGACAAGGAUAUUAAAACAGGUGCUAUAACUAUAUUCCAUAUGUUCAAGAAGAUAGAGGAAAGAUUGAGCACAUUAAGUUGAGAUAUGGAAGAUAUGAAAAGACCCACAUUGAAAUACCAGAUGCAAACUACGAGAUGAAAAAUACAUUGCAUGAGGUUAGCAUCAGAUUAGAUACUGAAGAAGAAAAGAUUAGUGAAUCUGAAGACAGCCAUAAAAACUAAAAUCAAGCGAAAAAAGACUGAAAGAAAAAAAGAAACAGUAUAGGGGAGGCUGUCAUAUAACUUCAAGCAGCCUAAUGUAUGUAUAAUUGGAGUCCCUGAAGAAGGGUGUAGGGGACAGAAAAAUUACUUGAAGAAAUAAUGGCUGAAAACUCCAAAUUAGAUAAAAAUUAUAAACCCAUAGAUCAAAGAAGCUCAGUGAACCCCAAGAACAAGAAACAUGAAUAAAACUACACCAAAUAACGUGAUAAAUUACUUAAAACCAGUGAUAUGCCUCUAGAUAUGACUGACCUGUCAGUCUGUCCCAGAACUUUCCCUUUGGACAGGAACUGACUGAGCUAAGGACACAGUAUCCCUGGAACUUUGACAGCAUAUGAAGUUUAGUGUCUGCUCCAUUCCAAACUCUUUAAAUGAAUCAGAUCUGCCCUAAAACAUGAGAUCCAGCCUCAGGCAAUAUCAGCUGUCACUGGGUUUCAUCCAGACAGCCUGCCAUUUGCUGUCCAGAUUGUCCCAUUUAUUUUCUUGGCCUGCUUGGCUCGGCAAUCCCCUUGCAUUUUAAUAUAUGCUCAUGUCGUUUUUACUUGCACAAUCCAUUUGAGCAGGAUUUUCUGGCUUUGGCCUUCAGCACUCUCUCCAGACCUGAUUUAGUAAAUGUCCUCUGCCCCAGUGCUCAGGACCUAUGCCAGAUAGGCUGACCAUGAUUCCUACCAGUUUUCCUGUGAAAAAUUUUCAGGAAGUUUUAAGAGAGUAGAUUUUAAAAGUUCUCAUCACAAGAAUAAAAAAUUGUAACUGUGAGUUGAUGGAGGUUAACUAAACUCAUCCUCGUAAUCAUUUUGCAAUGUAUACAUAAUCAUUACAUUGUACAUCUAAAAUGAAUACAAUGUUAUAUGUCAAUUAUAUCUCAAUUAAAAAACUUUUCCAGAAAUAACUUUAAACUUUCUGACCAUGUGGUCAAACUCUAGGCAAUGUUGGGAUCCAGCUGGGUGCUAUGAAAGUUUCAAGUUUCAAGUUGAGAAUUUCAGUUGCAUUUGUUAUAUGAAUCUGGAGCCUGAAUUGAAAUAUGCCCUCACAUCAGCUAUGCCUUGUGAGAAAUACCAGUGUUCUGCUUCCUCAGUCAAAACUGAGCAAUAACUACUAGCACUGUUGGCAUGGAUACUAACUCUAUAACAAGGCACUUGUGUAUAAAUAAAGUUGAAUAAAGUAUUUUUGGAUAUCUUUUGUAUUACUGCAAAAG